Molecule: ribosomal RNA, 407 nt
Filed under: bacterium enrichment culture clone ALO1_GLFRUDD03GDHDH
Lineage: Bacteria
Description: bacterial SSU rRNA
Rfam family: Bacterial small subunit ribosomal RNA
Source: RNAcentral
GAGUUUGAUCUUGGCUCAGAUUGAACGCUGGCGGCAUGCCUUACACAUGCAAGUCGAACGGCAGCACGGGAGCUUGCUCCUGGUGGCGAGUGGCGAACGGGUGAGUAAUGCAUCGGAACGUAUCCUGGAGUGGGGGAUAACGUAGCGAAAGUUACGCUAAUACCGCAUAUUCUGUGAGCAGGAAAGCGGGGGACCUUCGGGCCUCGCGCUCUUGGAGCGGCCGAUGUCGGAUUAGCUAGUUGGUGAGGUAAAGGCUCACCAAGGCGACGAUCCAUAGCAGGUCUGAGAGGAUGAUCUGCCACACUGGAACUGAGACACGGUCCAGACUCCUACGGGAGGCAGCAGUGGGGAAUUUUGGACAAUGGGGGCAACCCUGAUCCAGCCAUGCCGCGUGAGUGAAGAAGGCC